GACGAACGCUGGCGGCGUGCUUAACACAUGCAAGUCGAACGGAAAGGCCCUGCUUUUGUGGGGUGCUCGAGUGGCGAACGGGUGAGUAACACGUGAGUAACCUGCCCUUGACUUUGGGAUAACUUCAGGAAACUGGGGCUAAUACCGGAUAGGAGCUCCUGCUGCAUGGUGGGGGUUGGAAAGUUUCGGCGGUUGGGGAUGGACUCGCGGCUUAUCAGCUUGUUGGUGGGGUAGUGGCUUACCAAGGCUUUGACGGGUAGCCGGCCUGAGAGGGUGACCGGGCCCAGUGGGCAGGGGGAGCGGCCCGGGCCCCAACGGGGGCCAGCGGUGGAGAACAUUCCGCAAGGGGCGGCAUGCUGGUGGGAAAACGCCGCGGGGGAGAUGACGGCCUUCGGGUUGAAACCCCUUUUCGAGUGGGACGAGGGGUGAGGGACGGUAAUGGGUAAAAAGGCACCGGUUAAUUCGGU
This 467-nucleotide ribosomal RNA is filed under the name uncultured bacterium. RNAcentral's name for it is "partial 16S ribosomal RNA". It matches the Rfam family "Bacterial small subunit ribosomal RNA", at positions 28 to 506 of the family's 1533-position model. The record is from RNAcentral.